GGAACACGGUGUAAAUCCGUGGCGGUCCCGCCGCUGUAAUCGGGGAUGCUGGUCAGCACAGGGAAUUUUCCCGGUCACUCCCAGAGCACACCACGGGGGGAAGGCCGCAGGCCAGCAGACGAUCCGAAAGCCAGAAGAC
This 139-nucleotide non-coding RNA is filed under the name Deltaproteobacteria bacterium. The record is from RNAcentral. Lineage: Bacteria; Pseudomonadati; Myxococcota; Myxococcia.